This 362-nucleotide unclassified non-coding RNA is filed under the name Bursera medranoana. RNAcentral describes it as "partial external transcribed spacer". Lineage: Eukaryota; Viridiplantae; Streptophyta; Magnoliopsida; Sapindales; Burseraceae. The record is from RNAcentral.
CCGACGCCCGCAUGAGACGUGCUCAAGACGGGUUCCACGGUCUUCGGUGAGGGACAAAUGCGUUGCUCGGCCGACGGAGCCAAAAACCCCACGCCCGCGCACAACGUUCCGCAUCCGAGAGCACGGGCAACGCCCCCGGGGCCUGACAGCCACCAACUGGGCGAGGCGUGCCGGAACACGAGGCUUGUCUGACGUCACCCCACCACCCGCGAGGGCAUGGGGCGGAGAGGGACCACAAACCGUCGGAUUCCUUUCAUAGGUAAGCAACACAGGGAUACCGGAUGCACCCGCAAGGCCUGACGCACGUUGGGGAACAAUGAAGAGGAUGGGGCGUCAACAGUUGAUGCACGAGCACGGAGCCU